RNAcentral lists this small RNA (28 nucleotides) under Bombyx mori (domestic silkworm). Its description in RNAcentral is "ovarian small RNA-24902". The record is from RNAcentral. Lineage: Eukaryota; Metazoa; Arthropoda; Insecta; Lepidoptera; Bombycidae.
UCAAUUAAAUUAUAUGAUGAGGAACUGC